Astatotilapia calliptera (eastern happy) is the source of this 2994-nucleotide long non-coding RNA. The record is from Ensembl. NCBI's taxonomy places the organism in Eukaryota, Metazoa, Chordata, Actinopteri, Cichliformes, Cichlidae.
AGUUAAUGACACUAUCUGUGAUGGGAGAGGACAUGGGCUCUCAAACGAAACACUGGAUGGUGACACUGCAAGAAGUUUUUUAUCCUGCUCUAGCAGCUGUGGGCAUCCCAUCCAACAUCGUCACCUUUCUAAUCAUCUGGAAGAGGAACUGCACCCUCUCCAGAUCCAGUGCCUUGUAUCUGAUGGCCAUCUCAGUGGCAGACAACUUUGUCCUGAUGUUCAUUGUGAUUCUCGAGCUUUCUUUGAAGUACCACCAGCAGGAGCCAUUUUGGAGCUAUGAGCCUUGGUGCAGCCUGAGGGACAUUUUUAAUUACGGUGCCUAUAAUGCCUCUACUUGGCUUGUGGUUCUGUUUACAGUGGAGCGUUUUAUUGCCAUUCACACGUGGAAAAUCAAACCUAAAAUCUGCAAUCAGAGAUGUGCAGCAUGGACUAUAGCAGCCACGUUUGUUUUCAGUCAUCUUUUUGCCAUUCCUCACUACUGGUCUAAUAUCUCAGUCCAUGAUAAUAAUCAGACCAGGUGUAUUUACAACCCAGAGGCACCGACUCGGUUCAUUCAUGCCCUGGUCUGGAUUCAAACACUGCAAGCCUACAUGUUCCCCUUUCUCAUCAUCCUCACAGUUAACGGGUUGACCUUACAACUGAUUUCUCUCAGUAGCCGGGUUCACAUCCCUGCAGGAUUGGCUCCUGGGGUUUGCAAAGUCAGGCCCCUUCUUUGCUCCCGGAGAAGAAAAUCAGUGGUUCUUUUAGUGACCGUAUCCAUGAGUUUUGUGCUGCUGUCUGUCACGCGCGCUAUAACUCAGAUCAUCCUUCGCACAACUGAGUUGUACACUUUGGAUCGUAAUGAUUAUAAUCACCAAAUAAAUAUAGCAGCUGAUGCUGGGACCAUGCUCUGCCUGAGCAAUGCUGCUGCAAACAUGUACCUGUAUGUAUGCACCCAGUCCAGGUUUCGCCAGGAGUUCUCGGCUUGUAUUUAUCAGGCGUCCUUCUAUUGCAAAACAAAACUACAGAAAGUCAAAGAAAAUUCUCGGUGUGAUUAGAAAACACAAUCAUGGAGAUAUUAUCCUCAGCAAAGCUUUUACAGGUGCAAGCGUUCUUAGGGCAGCCAUAACAAGUUAAUGACUUUGUUUUUCUCAAAAGGCCACAAACCAUUUAACUGAACUAAGACUCCAUAAAAUACAAUUUAAUUUUCUUUAUUACUUUGCUUUACUCUUUAUGUCACCCAUCCCAUUAAACAAAAUAUAUGGAUUUCCUGCCAAAUUAACAAUCUUGACACACAGCUCCAUUGUUUGACUUGCACUUUAAAAUAAUGAAUUAAUUUCCUGCGUUUCCAAACCUGGACAAUAAAAGCUGGCAAACAAACAAGGAGAGUCACGCUCCAGCAAUCAGUUCAGUCAAAUAACCAUCAUGAUUUAGGUGUGCUGAAUAGCUUUUAUGGGUUUUUUUUAAUGACAAAACAAACAUGUCACAUAAAAGUUUCGUUUAAUUUAAAUUCACUCUGUGUAAAGAAAUGAUGUUUAAAUAUUACUGAACUGUUACUCCUGUCAUUUGGAAUCUUUAUUUUAAAUUAUGCUGCAGAAACAUGGAUCUGUUUGUUUUCUUUCAAACUUUCUGGUCUUUAAUUACAAGUCUGCAAUAAUAGAUGCACAGCAGUGUAACUGCGUGCAAAUAUGUCAUUAGGUUUUGACCUAAAAUAUUAUGCUUUAGGUCAAAGCUAAUGGUUGCCACAAUCCAGUCUUUAAGUGAUGAUGUGAUGAAUCCUGCUUCCGGGCCCAAACGACUCUGCGUUUAAUAAGGCUUUUGUGUUUCUUACUUGUUUUAAUGCUUUGUAUCUUGUUCUAUUUAAUCUCAACAAGCCCCUAAAACAGUCAGUGAUCACUGUCGGCCUCUCUUGGUUUUUAUUACUGCUAAUCAUUUUAAAGCUCAGUUUUUAAAACCUUACAAUGUCACUACAGCUCAGCCCAUGCAGCAGUAUAUUGAUAAUUAACCUCAUAUUGUGGAUGGAUUAUCUCAGUUGUUCUCCUGGCUGAAGUUCAGUCCGUUUACAGCAUCCUGCCAUGCGAUUGCAUUUGUCCCAAACCAUCGGGAACCCUCACGUUAACUUUUACAGAGUAGAAAAAAGUUAGCGUUCAUCCUCCAGCUUCACUGUUUAUAUUAUGCUAACAUAGCUGUGUCGCUAGCGAUCAUGUAGCACAUCAUUGUAUACCAGCUAGCCAAACUUCAGUAACCCUACAAACGUCCCUGCUGUUUACUUUCCUGUCUUCAUGUAUGUCAGAAAUAAUAGCAGAGCUGUACGUCUUAAUUUGUUUCAUAAAUCCCUCAGUCAGAACAUGGUAUAUUAUGACUAGUGAGCUAACUUCCUGCUAACUUCUAACUCUGUUAAAUUUCAUAAAUUUGGUUUUCGUGAAUGCAUGGAUGUUAAACUUAAUUGUUAAACCAGGUAGAGCAGCAGCACUGAUCAUUUUAUUACAGAUGAAGGGAUUUAGACAGUUUUUAACUCUCAGUGAUGCCGCAGUAAUCGUUUGACUUUGGGACCUGCAGCAGAGUUAGGCACGGCUAAUGAUGUCAGACCGUAUAGAUGUAACAACUCUGUUGUAGACUCCAGGGCAGGUAAUUUUGGGGCCCUUACCACCACUUCAUACCUGAGCAAGUCCACUAUUUACCAAUUUUACACACACUGUAAAUGCAAAAGAAAUAUCAGGUUUUGAUCAUCAUGGACUACUACCACCAUCAGUGAAUAUGUACAAAAAUAGAAUUUUGGGUUAAAAUUCAGUUAAAAAAACACUGGACUGCAUUAAUAAAGUUAUAUUUUGUUCAGAAAAUGGAACCACAACGUAAACAUAUAAUAGAACUUUUUCAUAUCUGUCCAACUUUAACGAAAUAAAUAAUUUAAGCUGUGCAUGCUGUGUGAGAUGUGAAAAGGGGCACUUUUCUGCUGGAGAUUUGGUUCACAGAUCUUCUCAAACUUUUUAUGAAUACAUGGUGGUACCUUCAGGC